AGCAUAUCAAUAAGCGGAGGAAAAGAAAAUAACAAUGAUUCCCUUAGUAACGGCGAGUGAAGGGGGAAAAGCUCAAAUUUUAAAUCUGCUAGGUUUUACCUGUCAGAAUUGUAUUUUGAAGAAGCGUUUUCCGCGUUUCGGUUGGCCCAAAUCCUUUGGGAUAGGGUAUCAUGGAGGGUGAGAAUCCCGUUCGGUUGACCUUAUGACGCUUUACGAUACGCUCUCUAAGAGUCGAGUUGUUUGGGAUUGCAGCUCAAAAUGGGAGGUAAAUUUCUCCUAAGGCUAAAUAUCGGCGAGAGACCGAUAGCGAACAAGUACCGUGAGGGAAAGAUGAAAAGAACUUUGAAAAGAGAGUAAAAUAGUACGUGAAAUUGUUGAAAGGGAAACGAUUGAAGUCAGUCGUACCGACGAGAACUCAGCUUAUCGUGUGUGAACUUGUGGGCGUGCGUGAGUUUCGGCCUCGCUGUUUGCAUGUUUGUGCGCUUUGGGUGUACUUUUUCGUAUGGUAGGCCAACAUCAGUUUCGAUCACUAUAAAAUGACUGGCGGAAUGUAGCUUCGAUUUCGGUUGAAGUGUUAUAGCUUCCGGUAGAUGUGGUGAUUGGGACUGAGGAUUGCAACGAAUAUCCUUUGGGCUAUCCGUCUGGCCUCUGAAAGUUGCUUGGGUGCUGAAAGCUUGCUUAUAGUUAUCUAAGUUAACGGUCAAUAGGUUAGAACGUGAUUACAUUCGUUAAGGAUGUUGGCGUAAUGGCUUUAAAUGACCCGUCU
Molecule: ribosomal RNA, 766 nt
Filed under: uncultured fungus
Lineage: Eukaryota; Fungi
Description: eukaryotic LSU rRNA
Rfam family: Eukaryotic large subunit ribosomal RNA
Source: RNAcentral